Molecule: ribosomal RNA, 658 nt
Filed under: uncultured bacterium
Lineage: Bacteria
Description: bacterial SSU rRNA
Rfam family: Bacterial small subunit ribosomal RNA
Source: RNAcentral
GAAAGAAAGAUUUAUACCCGAUGUCAUAGUCCUACCGCAUGAUGGGAUUAUUAAAGAAUUUCGGUAUGGGAUGGGGAUGCGUUCCAUUAGUUAGUUGGCGGGGUAACGGCCCACCAAGACAACGAUGGAUAGGGGUUCUGAGAGGAAGGUCCCCCACAUUGGAACUGAGACACGGUCCAAACUCCUACGGGAGGCAGCAGUGAGGAAUAUUGGUCAAUGGACGAGAGUCUGAACCAGCCAAGUAGCGUGAAGGAUGACUGCCCUAUGGGUUGUAAACUUCUUUUAUAUGGGAAUAAAACGUUCCACGUGUGGGAUUUUGUAUGUACCAUAUGAAUAAGGAUCGGCUAACUCCGUGCCAGCAGCCGCGGUAAUACGGAGGAUCCGAGCGUUAUCCGGAUUUAUUGGGUUUAAAGGGAGCGUAGGUGGAUUGUUAAGUCAGUUGUGAAAGUUUGCGGCUCAACCGUAAAAUUGCAGUUGAAACUGGCAGUCUUGAGUACAGUAGAGGUGGGCGGAAUUCGUGGUGUAGCGGUGAAAUGCUUAGAUAUCACGAAGAACUCCGAUUGCGAAGGCAGCUCACUGGACUGCAACUGACACUGAGGCUCGAAAGUGUGGGUAUCGAACAGGAUUAGAUACCCUGGUAGUCCACACAGUAAACGAU